This is a long non-coding RNA of Callithrix jacchus (white-tufted-ear marmoset), 488 nucleotides long. RefSeq lists it as uncharacterized. NCBI's taxonomy places the organism in Eukaryota, Metazoa, Chordata, Mammalia, Primates, Cebidae. The record is from RefSeq and is a predicted model, not a curated record.
UAGUGAUGAGGUCAUGGGCUCCAAAAUAUGGCCAUGGUAUGAAGGUGGCAGCACAAAUUUUUAAACAACAUUUCAGCACCACACCACAUUGCUGAGAAGGAAGCCUGUGUAAUCUCGUCUUCAAAAAGCAGUCCCUCAGUGAGCUCAUCUGCUCUCAGGGAUUCAUCCAUUGCUGCUGUGCAGAUGCUUCAAAGCCUAACCACAUGAACAAUCGGUUUCCAGCCAUUUACUGCCUGAUGAAAGGGAACAAAAGGGAACACAGGGUGCUUGCUCUGUAUGGGUGUCUUCAGAGCAAAACCACAGUACAGGCUCUUGCCCAUGCCUUUCUCUCUCUGCUUCUGCUUCUGACUGACCCUGGUGUUUCUCUGGGUUGUCAUGUGUGACCCCAUCCUUGGGAACUGUCCUCACCAGAAGCAGAUGCUGAUGCCACACUUCUUGUACAACCUGCAGAACUAUGAGCCAAAUAAACCUCUUUUCUUUAUAAAUUA